GCCGCGGUAGCUUAAUAGGUAAAAGCGACCGGCUCAUAACCGGAGGAUAGUUGAGUUCGAAUCUCUCCCGCGGCACCA
Molecule: transfer RNA, 78 nt
Filed under: Haemophilus influenzae
Lineage: Bacteria; Pseudomonadati; Pseudomonadota; Gammaproteobacteria; Pasteurellales; Pasteurellaceae
Also listed under: 3 other names
Description: tRNA-Met
Rfam family: tRNA
About the family: Transfer RNA (tRNA) molecules are approximately 80 nucleotides in length. Their secondary structure includes four short double-helical elements and three loops (D, anti-codon, and T loops).
Source: RNAcentral